AUAAAGAAGCGCGCUGCGUUUGUCUAUGAACUGAAAAUUGUAAAUAACUGCAGAACUGGUUUCCCCAUUGAAGUCUUUCGUGCGGUAUGAAAUUUAACUUCUUUAUAUUGUCAAUCGAAAAUUAUUGUGUGCAAUAUAUGGCUACACUGAUGUUGCUAAGAUAAGUGGAAACAAUAAAUCUGACUAUGGGGUCAUUUCAAUAUUCCAUGUUUCUUGAAAACAUUCAAACUGUCAUUUCAAACGAAACAUAAAAAAUGUAAGGAAAAGUUUUGUAAAAACAAAUAAAAAUUAAAGCUUCGCGUAUUUAAUGAUUCAAAUUAAAACCUUAUUGUUAACUUACUGAUACUUAAAUCAAAUAAUAAUAAAACUUUGUAAUUAACGAUUUCUCUAUUUUCAAUUGUAAUAUAUUUUA
Molecule: long non-coding RNA, 412 nt
Organism: Drosophila nasuta
Lineage: Eukaryota; Metazoa; Arthropoda; Insecta; Diptera; Drosophilidae
Exons: 3
Source: RefSeq, a predicted model, not a curated record